Molecule: ribosomal RNA, 491 nt
Filed under: uncultured bacterium
Lineage: Bacteria
Description: bacterial SSU rRNA
Rfam family: Bacterial small subunit ribosomal RNA
Source: RNAcentral
AAAUGAAUUGACGGGGGCCCGCACAAGCAGUGGAGUAUGUGGUUUAAUUCGAAGCAACGCGAAGAACCUUACCAGGGCUUGACAUCCCGCGCAUAGCCAAGAGAUUGGUGAAGUCCUUUUGGACGCGGAGACAGGUGGUGCAUGGUUGUCGUCAGCUCGUGUCGUGAGAUGUUGGGUUAAGUCCCGCAACGAGCGCAACCCCUGUUGUUAGUUGCCAUCAUUAAGUUGGGCACUCUAGCGAGACUGCCGGCGAGAAGUCGGAGGAAGGUGGGGACGACGUCAAAUCAUCAUGCCCCUUACGUCCUGGGCUACACACGUACUACAAUGGUCAGAACAGAGGGAUGCAAAGGAGCAAUCCGGAGCGAAACCCCAAAACUGAUCUCAGUUCGGAUUGUGGGCUGAAACCCGCCCGCAUGAAGUCGGAAUUGCUAGUAAUGGCAGGUCAGCAUACUGCCGUGAAUACGUUCCCGGGCCUUGUACACACCGCCCGU